UGACCCGGGCCCAAAGUAGCAUAAUCAAUUGUCUUUUAAUUGAAGGCUAGAAUGAAUGGUUGGAUGAGAUAUAAGCUAUUUUUAUUUUAUAAGUUUGAAAUUUAAUUUUUAGUGAAAAUGCUAAAAUAAAUAAAUUAGACGAGAAGACCCUAUAAAUCUUUAUUUUUAUUUUUUAUUAAAAUUUUUAGUAAAUAAUGUUUAUUAAAAAAUAAAAAUUUAAUUGGGGUGAUUAUGAAAUUUUAUAAACUUUUAUUUAAUUAAACAAAUAUAAUUGUUUUGAAUGAUCCAUUAAUAAUGAUUAUAAAUUUAAGUUACUUUAGGGAUAACAGCGUAAUUAUUUUAGAAAGUUCUUAUUGAUAAAAUAGAUUGCGACCUCGAUGUUGAAUUAAGAUUAAUUUAAAUGCAAAGGUUAAU
This 414-nucleotide ribosomal RNA is filed under the name Culicoides milnei. RNAcentral's name for it is "partial 16S ribosomal RNA". The record is from RNAcentral. Lineage: Eukaryota; Metazoa; Arthropoda; Insecta; Diptera; Ceratopogonidae.